UGGGGGAUAUUGCACAAUGGGCGAAAGCCUGAUGCAGCGACGCCGCGUGGGGGAUGAAGGCUUUCGGGUUGUAAACCUCUUUCGCUAUCGAACAAGGCCCGCUUAGGGUGGGUUGAGGGUAGGUGGAGAAGCAGCGCCGGCUAACUACGUGCCAGCAGCCGCGGUCAUACGUAGGGCGCGAGCGUUCUCCGGAAUUAUUGGGCGUAAAGGGCUUGUAGGCGGGUUGUUGCGCUUGCUGUGAAAGCGCGGGGCUUAACUUGGGGAUUGCAGUGGAUACUGGGAGGCUUGAGUGUGGUAGGGGUGACUGGAAUUCCAGGUGUAGCGGUGGAAUGCGCAGAUAUCUGGAGGAAUACCGAUGGCGAAGGCAGGUCACUGGGCCAUUACUGACGCUGAGGAGCGAAAGCAUGGGUAGCUAACAGG
Molecule: ribosomal RNA, 420 nt
Filed under: bacterium
Lineage: Bacteria
Description: partial 16S ribosomal RNA
Rfam family: Bacterial small subunit ribosomal RNA
Source: RNAcentral